AUGAGAGAAAAGAGGUCAGAGAAAAUGAAACCAGGGUUUUUUUUUUCCUGUCCUCGACAUUUUCACUUAUUGUAGAUCAGGCUAACAUGGAUGCAUGUGGAAAGAGCACAGCAGAUCCAUGGACACAGUUCACUUUUCUUUGCUAUUCACAAUGGAGAAGCUACUGAAAGUCAGUGUGAAAGCUGUGGUGUCUACAUGUCAGGUCUUGGAGGAGGCCCCACCCAGGGUGCUGCAGUGGUAAAGAAUCUGCCUGCCAAUGUAGAAGGUGCAAGAGAUGUGGGUUCGAUCCCUGGGUGAGGAAGAGUCCCUGGAGUAGGAAGUGGAAACCCACUCCAGUAUUCCUGUGUGGAAAAUUCCAUGGACAGCAGAGCCUGGUGGGCUACAGUUCAUGGGGUCACAAAGAGCUGGACACAACCAAGCACACAAAC
This is a long non-coding RNA of Bos taurus (domestic cattle), 428 nucleotides long. The record is from Ensembl. NCBI's taxonomy places the organism in Eukaryota, Metazoa, Chordata, Mammalia, Artiodactyla, Bovidae.